ACUGAGCACUGUGGAUAAUAUUGCAAUAAGUAUGCGCACUCUCAGAAGGAUUUUAAAAUGCAAGGGGCCAUACAGAAUGAAGAAUGAGUCCAACCCUCUGGCAGUAGCAUCAUUUCUCAUUGAUCAGCUGGAGGGGCACGGAAGGUUCCACGGAUACAGGCUACACCAUCUCUGCUGCAUCCAAGCUGGGUAUGUUGUGACCCAAAGGACAGUGAGGCAUUUGUUAAAGUUUCUAGACCCCUGUGGUGUUGAGCAGAGACGGAGAAAUCGCCUGAUGCGACGCCUAUAUGUUAACCCUGGGCCUAAUUUUAUGUGGCAUGUUGACUCAUACGAGGGGCACACAGACCGACUGCUGCUGCAAAAAACAGCUCUGCUUGCUUCAUCACUAUUUUUAUAUAGACUACACAACAUUUUAAAGCCAAAUUUACAAUAAAAUAUAGACAAGCAGCCACAAACUAUGGAGAAGCUAUCUAACAUCUUCAGAACAGUCAAUAGGUGUGCUACAAAAGCCCAAUGACACCUUGGAUAGAUUUUCAUUGAUUGACAACACAAUGCUGCAGAAGCAUAUGAAUUCUCAUGGAUUCAUUCAUGACUUAAUGUAUUAAAGAGCACGAGUUCAUUCAGAUAAUGAUUCAUGAAUUAUCAGGCAUGCACAAGAAUUAAUAGCAUCUCAUGCAUGACUAAAUGCAAGCUCAUAAUGUUAAUUAAUGCAACAACUAGGUAUUUCAAUCAGCAUGAUUUCUGAGUUCUUAACGAUGUUCGUGAAUCUUAAUUAAGUCUGCAGUUAAAGGGACAGACUGUAAAACUGACUAGUCACAGCAGUGCACUGUUGAACAUGACAUGUACUUACAAAAAACAAAACAUACUUUAACUUUAAGCUUUUAACAUUAUUAAUAAUGUAAGCAGUAGUCAUCUUACUUUUCACAACACAUUGUUGAUAUAAUGUCCACUCACCAUGGGAGCAUAUGUCUGCAUGUAUAAUAUUGACUCAAAAUAGGAAGUGUUACAUUGAUCUGUGUUUUCACUGGUAUUUUUCUUCUACAGGAACUACUGCAGCAAGUUGCACAAGAUCACCUGAAAGAGGUCUCUCAGGAAGCAGUGGAGGCUUGUAAACUAGAGUGCCAACAGAGAGGACCUUAUCCUUGCGAUGAAACUGUUUUCAGCUUGUGUUGCCUUAUAAUGGCAGAGAACUUCUUACUCUCACCCACCACAGCAGAUGAAGCCAUAGAGCUAUAUCUCUUCUUGAGAGCAUACAUUCUUAAAUACUUAAUUAAGGCAGGGCUACAUUAUGUCAACUGAUGCCUUGGUUUCUUUUGAACAUUUUUGUGAGGAAAAUAUCCACAACAAAUAAUCACAAUGUUUCAGUGCAGAGUAAAAAUAAUGUGUGGUUUCAACAAAAUAUUUAACCAACCCUGUACAUUUGGUCACUUUGUCACAAACCCCAGGUCGUGACCCUGGCCUGCCUGUUGCCCUGAGGCUGCUGGUGGGCGUGGUAAUCUGAGCUCCAGGCUUUCCCACCUGAAGCACAUCCGCAAUCAGCACACCAGGGCCUCUGCCUGCAAUCAACACGCCUUUAAGAGAUCUGCCAACCUUCCAGUCCCCGCUGGAUUGUUGUACUUAACCGAAACCUGCAUAUGCACCACGCGGAUUCCCUCCUGUGCCCCGGAAUCAUCUAAGCUCUGGGACCAGAACCGCAGACCCACAGAACGACCACCUCACCCCAACCUCUCCCAGGACACCCCUUGUGCUUAAUAAACUUCUGUGAAUCUC
Molecule: long non-coding RNA, 1770 nt
Organism: Micropterus dolomieu (smallmouth bass)
Lineage: Eukaryota; Metazoa; Chordata; Actinopteri; Centrarchiformes; Centrarchidae
Exons: 2
Source: RefSeq, a predicted model, not a curated record